AUUGAACGCUGGCGGCAGGCCUAACACAUGCGAGUCGAGCGGAAGAAGGGAGCUUGCUCCUGGAUUCAGCGGCGGACGGGGGAGUAAUGCCCAUGAAUCUGCCUGGUGGUGGGGGGUAACGUCCGGAAACGGGCGCUAAUAUCGCAUACGCCCUGAGCGAGAAAGUGGGGGGUCUUCGGACCUCACGCUAUCAGAUGAGCCUAGGUCGGAUUAGCUAGUUGGUGGGGUAAAGGCCUACCAAGGCGACGAUCCGUAGCUGGUCUGAGAGGAUGAUCAGUCACACUGGAACUGAGACACGGUCCAGACUCCUACGGGAGGCAGCAGUGGGGAAUAUUGGACAAUGGGCGAAAGCCUGAUCCAGCAAUGCCGCGUGUGUGAAGAAGGUCUUCGGGUUGUAAAGCACUUUUGGUUGGGAGGAAGGGCAGUAAGUUAAUACCUUGCUGUUUUGACGUUACCGAAAGAAUAAGCACCGGCUAACUACGUG
RNAcentral lists this ribosomal RNA (484 nucleotides) under uncultured bacterium. RNAcentral describes it as "partial 16S ribosomal RNA". It matches the Rfam family "Bacterial small subunit ribosomal RNA", at positions 30 to 507 of the family's 1533-position model. The record is from RNAcentral.